Molecule: long non-coding RNA, 1253 nt
Filed under: Gallus gallus (chicken)
Lineage: Eukaryota; Metazoa; Chordata; Aves; Galliformes; Phasianidae
Description: lncRNA (ENSGALG00010004093.1)
Source: RNAcentral
AACCACACAUUAGCUAAUCAGCAGGUUGAGGGGAAAGCUGCCAAAAGCAGAUCUGAUAAUUGGCAGCAUUCAAACAAUCAUAGCAGGAAACUUUACACUUCCUGCAGACAAGGCUACUGAUGAAGACAAUGCUGAGAUAUAACUUUAGGGGAAAAGAAUUAGGAUGUUUAGUACUUUCAUGUUUAAUGAUCUCUUGAAAAACUGGAUUCACAGCUCAUGGGAGGCACAGGUAUUUUGCACAGAAACAAUGUAGAAAACCACCCAACACUGGUAAAGGGAGUUCUGAUAGCCUAGUGAUCAACUAGAAGCAUUCAUGAGAUUUGUCCUCUGCCAAGUUUUACAAGCCAUUUAAAACACCUUUUUAUUUGUCUACAUCCAUAUAUGGUACAGUUAUUACUGUAAUAGGUGAGAACUUGACACAUUUAUCAGCACAACAUUCCCGAGAUAAAUAUCAACAAAUCCAUCCCACUGGUAGCUAUUUUAAACACACAUCAGCUGAGUUUUAGACCUACUCAAGACUUCAGGUGAUUUAGAUGAGAUUUAAAACAAAAUUCAAUGUUCUAAUUUUCCACUCAUCUACUGCUUAGCUUUGGCACUAUCUAAAUUCUUUCAAGCGUUUAAAGUCACCCAAAUUUCCUCAUAUAUUCUCCUUUAAGGAAUAGAAACACUUCAGUCUUCACAGUGUGAAGAAGCUGUAGCUCUUCGGUCAAAGAAGUUCAACUUUCAGCAUUAUCCGCCACUAAGCAUCCUUCAUUUAUCUCAUUGUUGGCAGCAUUCUUGCUAAUGUUUUACUUCACAUAUCUUUCAGAUCAAGUACAGCAGGAAUGGCUGUAGAAGAGCAGAGAUGAAGAUCUCCCACUUCUCCUCACAUCUGAGUUGACUCAGGUUCUGUGGGCAAACAUACCUGUGAGUUUCUUUCACAGAGAGGAACAGUUUCAACAGGAAAAGAUGGCAGCAGAGGGAUUGUCUGACAAAAUGGAGUCUGACCUGGAAAGGCAUAUGAAGUGUGGAACUGAACUCCUCCAUGUGGAAAAAAUGGAACCCAUUGACAUUCAUUGAUGUUUGUUGAACAUUUAUGGAGACCAAACAGUGGAUGUGAGCGCUGCGAGGUGGAUUAAACAAGCAAGUUUCUGGGAUGUGCAGAAAUGGAGAUCACUGGAAGCAAGAAAAAAAAAAAAGGGCGGUCAGCAAAACACUAGAAAUGCUUCAGAGGUGAUGACAGGAAUGAAGAGUCAACAUCUGCAAAGGCCAAC